GCCACUGUGGCUCAGCGGUAGAGCGGCGGUUUCGUAAACCGUAGGCCGGGGGUUCGAUCCCCUCCAGUGGCUCCA
Molecule: transfer RNA, 75 nt
Filed under: Methanomassiliicoccaceae archaeon DOK
Lineage: Archaea; Methanobacteriati; Thermoplasmatota; Thermoplasmata; Methanomassiliicoccales; Methanomassiliicoccaceae
Also listed under: 7 other names
Description: tRNA-Thr
Rfam family: tRNA
About the family: Transfer RNA (tRNA) molecules are approximately 80 nucleotides in length. Their secondary structure includes four short double-helical elements and three loops (D, anti-codon, and T loops). Further hydrogen bonds mediate the characteristic L-shaped molecular structure. tRNAs have two regions of fundamental functional importance: the anti-codon, which is responsible for specific mRNA codon recognition, and the 3' end, to which the tRNAs corresponding amino acid is attached (by aminoacyl-tRNA synthetases). tRNAs cope with the degeneracy of the genetic code in two manners: having more than one tRNA (with a specific anti-codon) for a particular amino acid; and 'wobble' base-pairing, i.e. permitting non-standard base-pairing at the 3rd anti-codon position.
Source: RNAcentral